Molecule: long non-coding RNA, 1684 nt
Organism: Pongo pygmaeus (Bornean orangutan)
Lineage: Eukaryota; Metazoa; Chordata; Mammalia; Primates; Hominidae
Exons: 3
Source: RefSeq, a predicted model, not a curated record
CCUCAAAACUUGGAAGUCCUCCUUAACUUCCCCUGGCAGCUCUCAACCUAUCAGGCCCAACCUCACCAGAGACACUGAACGGCCGGAGUGCACGAACCUGACACCACCCGCCUCCAAAGGUCCGUCACAAAGGCCAGAAAGGUCGGUAUUUUCACGUGCCGCUGCCGUCAACGGCUGUCUCAGCAUUCAGCUUCUCUAGGAUUCUGGAGGCUUUCUCUGUGGUUGCCCGGCCGAACCCCGCCCCAGCUGAGCAGCGCGAGUUCCAGCUGAGCAGUCAGGUAACCCCAGGGGCCCAUGCUCCCAGGCUGGGGCGCGUCAGACCCGUGCGAGGCCGGCCUUCCAGCUGCAGAAUGUCGGAAGAGCGGCUCCGAAGGCAAACUUCGGAUAGCACGGGCUGCUAGGCACCUCUGAUAACUAACAGGUGCGGAGACAAAAGGGAAGAAAUCUCUCCUUUCCAGCUUGGGCGGUUGAACAACAAACAUUCGCUCAAAUUCUGGCCUUGUGGAGUUAGGAGGGUCACCAUUUGAACUGCAAAAUUGAACAAUUGCUCUUGAAGUCCUGAGCCACCAUGGAAGAAGUCUGCCAACCCUGCUUUCCAGUGACUGAGCUGCAAGAAUCCUUCAAGAUGCCGAAAAAAUGACCCCAAAGUGAGCUUUAUGUGGCUCCGAGACCACAUAAAGAAGCUCUGAGACCACAUGGAGAAGAUUAGCCCGGCUAAGCCCACUUUUCUGGCUGUCCCUGCCAAGGCACUUGGCAUGGCAGUGAAGCUGUCUUGGAUUUUCCAGACAAAUUAUACUGCCAGAUGAAUACCAGCAAGUGAUCUUAGUUGACACCACAUGAAACAGAAGAAUUUCUCAGCUGAGUCCUCCCCAAAUUCCUGGCCCAAAACAUGAUGGUGUGGUUUUUUCCACUGUUUUGGAGUAACUUUUUAUGCAGCAAUAGAUAACAAGAUCAGAUGUUUACUAGAUUGUAAUGGUUUGAUUAGACUGUUUCCUAAGAAUAUUAACUUUCCUCUGUUUCAAUGACAUAGUCAAUAUGCAAUUUUCAAUUUGUAGUUGAUAUUUAAAUUUCCAGUUAGGAAAAAGCUUGAUGUUGAGGACUUGCACUAAAUUUUAGGCCAGGUAUAGCUCCAAUUUUUAUGGAAAUUAUUAUAUACAGUAUAAGGUAAUUUUUUAUGGGCUAUAGUUAGCAAUUUCUUUUUUAUCUUUUUUAUUAUUUAUUUUUUAUUGUACUUUAAGUUCUAGGGUACAUGUGCACAACGUGCAGGUUUGUUACAUAUGUAUACAUGUGCCAUGUUGGUUUGUUGCAUCCACUAAUUCAUCACUUACACUAGGUAUUUCUCCUAAUGCUAUCCCUCCCCUAUCCCCCCACCCCACGACAGGCCCCGGUGUGUGAUGUUCCCUGUCCUGUGUCCAAAUGUUCUCGUUGUUCAAUUCUCACCUACGAGUGAGAACAUGCGGUGUUUGAUUUUCUGUCCUUGCGAUAGUUUGCUCAGAAUGAUGGUUUCCCGCUUCAUCCAUGUCGCUACAAAGGACAUGAACUCAUCCUUUUUUAUGGCUGCAUAGUAUUCCAUGGUGUAUAUGUGCCACAUUUUCUUUAUCCAGUCUAUCAUUGAUGGACAUUUGGGUUGGUUCCAAGUCUUUGCUAUUGUGAAUAGUGCUGCAAUAAACAUACGUGUGCAUGU